RNAcentral lists this long non-coding RNA (1278 nucleotides) under Felis catus (domestic cat). RNAcentral's name for it is "lncRNA (ENSFCAG00000040657.2)". The record is from RNAcentral. Lineage: Eukaryota; Metazoa; Chordata; Mammalia; Carnivora; Felidae.
UAAACAAGUUAAGUCACUAAAGAUUUCCUGAUCCUGAUGCUGGCCAGACUAUGUGGAAAUGUGGUUCCUGAACAUGUUUCUGGAGGUGCUGGAUAUGAUUACAAACCUCAGGAAGCAGGUUGGUGGUGGAACGAUCAAUUGACAAGUAUGACCAUCCCAUUUAAGAGACCCACUUGUUGUAACCAUGAGAAAUAAUGAUGAAGAUACAAGGAAAAUAAGAUUUGGACUUUACAAUGAAAGAUCCUCAUUGCAGAAUUAGGGAGCUGUCACCACAGGUAAGGAGACCGUGUCAACGUGGAGCCCCACAGGCAUUAAAUAAUAAAUCCAAGAUGAUGUAGUGAUGGCUUUGAGCUUUCUGUACUCUCCUCCUCAUGUGAAAUGUGUCUUAUAUGAUCAGAUCGUGUGUAUGAGAACUCAGUUCUUAUAAUGGGAACCUGGGCCAAUUAACAUUCACCCUCAACAUGGCGCUUCAUCUGAUGAAAGCCAUUUCACGCCCAGGAGAAGAGUAAAAGAAACACAAGAACAGCUGCAGCAGUCAGAGCUCACCUUCGGACACCAGAUGGCUCUUGGUGAGAAGGUGACUCAGGACAACUGGGUAGAAAUGUUUUCUCUCCUCUUCUUGUGCACAUCCUGCCACAGCUGAACGUGGAUGUGUUUCUCUCUCCCAGCUCGGGGCUCGUGAUCUGGAGAGGGCGGUGGCUGAGCAGAGCAGGGAGGUGGCCUACUUGAAGUGCAGGUACAGGAUUUGACAUAUUUAUUUUCAGGGGUGCGGUACUUUUUAAAAAGGCUAAAAAACUGUUUGGUGUCCAGUGGAGGCCUGGGUGUGUGGUAGCUCUUAGGAAACUGAUUCAUCUUGAUCUUCAAGACUGGAAGUCAUCCAAAGACAGAGGCUUCCAGAGGAAUUCAGGAGGCACAAACCAAUGGCAAGAAGACCUGACAGGGAGAUCUCUCCAUGGAGAGAGACUUUAGCCGAUCCAGAAGCUGGUGUCACUCCCAUGAGUCACAACAACAAGCACUCUACCAAAACAAAUGCCAAGAAGGACCAGGAAAAUGCUGGGGCCAUUUCAGUUGUAAGUCUGUCGGGACACCCUCAUUUGCGAUACAGCAUGCUCUCCAGCCUUUUCCCUGUUUUGUGUGUUGUGUGUGUGUGAUAUGUCUGCCUGUUUCUAUUUGCCAAAUGCACAUCCUUAACCCAAGAGUCUACAGGCUUCUCUCUUUUCAGCCUGUCACCUUUUUUCUGGUAAAUUUAGUGGCCAAAGGAACUUAGAGAUUGAGGAU